This 775-nucleotide ribosomal RNA is filed under the name uncultured Neocallimastigales. Its description in RNAcentral is "partial large subunit ribosomal RNA". The stretch from base 5 to 693 matches the Rfam family "Eukaryotic large subunit ribosomal RNA", at positions 24 to 664 of the family's 3401-position model. Lineage: Eukaryota; Fungi; Neocallimastigomycota; Neocallimastigomycetes; Neocallimastigales. The record is from RNAcentral.
GAGACUCUGUGCGCGUGCAUAUCAAUAAGCGGAGGAAAAGAAACUAACAAGGAUUCCCCUAGUAACGGCGAGUGAAGCGGGAAGAGCUCAAAUUUGAAAUCUUCAAGGUUUGACCUUGACGAAUUGUAGUUUAAAGAAGUGUUUUCGGUUAGAGGAGUAGUAAAAGUUCUUUGGAAUAGGACAUCAUAGGGGGUGAGAAUCCCGUAUUUGACCAUUAUUUCCAGCUGUGUGAUACACUUUCAAAGAGUCGGAUUGUUUGGGAAUGCAGUCCAAAAUGGGUGGUAAAUUUCAUCUAAAGCUAAAUAUUGGCGAGAGACCGAUAGCGAACAAGUACCGUGAGGGAAAGAUGAAAAGAACUUUGAAAAGAGAGUUAAACAGUACGUGAAAUUGUCAAAAGGGAAGCGUUUGACACCAGUGUUGUUUUCUCGAAAAUCAAUUAAAAAUGAUGGGAUUUUGUGUUGUAUUGACUUUAUCAGCUUUCUGCACUUUUUUCUUAUCUUUUUUAAUGCACUUUUCGUUUAACAAGUCAACAUCAAUUUCUUUUGUUGUAAAAGAGUCAUUGGAAGGUGGCUUUUUCUUCGGAAAAAGUGUUUAUAGCCUUUGGCUUCUGCAAUCGGAGAGAUUGAGGUCUGCAGCGUAGAUCCUUCGGGGUUAGAUACAUUUGUGCUAAGCUAUAGUUCUUUAUAGACAACUUGUUGACUAUAAUCAAUCCUGUAACUUACUCGCUUAUGCUAUUUUACCUACGCUUAGGAUGUUGACGAUCAGCUGAGCGCCG